This is a long non-coding RNA of Cyprinodon variegatus (sheepshead minnow), 679 nucleotides long. RefSeq lists it as uncharacterized. Lineage: Eukaryota; Metazoa; Chordata; Actinopteri; Cyprinodontiformes; Cyprinodontidae. The record is from RefSeq and is a predicted model, not a curated record. The transcript has 3 exons.
AAUCAUGUAAGCUAAUGAGAUGCAGCUGGUGUGGUUUAAUUGAAAGUGCUUAGAAGUAGUCAGAAAAGAUUGUCCUUACUUGUCCAUACUUAUAUAUCAAUAUGGAUAUGGGUGAUAUUUGACUUUAAAUGAACCUAAAAUAAAAAGUAUAUAUUGAUUUAAUGAAAUAUAGCUGGUUGAUAGACUUAGAAGAAGCGUGACGUCAGACGCUUAUUAACAUACUGGGCAGUAUUUAUAGGCUCAUGGCGACGUGCAUUAUCACUCUGCUCCUGCUUCUUUGAGACAGUCUUCCUGUGUGGUCUCUGUGCUUGCAAGCUUGGUCCCCUACAAUCAUGUCUGACAAACCUGAUGUUACUGAGGUCACAACCUUUGACAAAACCAAGCUGAAGAAGACUGAAACCCAAGAGAAGAACCCCCUGCCAACUAAAGAAACAAUUGAACAGGAGAAGGCAGAGUCAUCAUGAAGACCGGUCUAUGUACUGCACAUCCCACAGCAAUGGCAUCAAAUUCUUCUGGAUAUGGCUUCCCUUGGCGUGGGAUUUCUUUAAUCCCUGCUGUGGAAUGAUGGACUUGCUUGUGGCCUCCUCCUGGCCAGUUUUGAAUGCUCACUAAGCAAGAUAUUUCUUGUAAACCUGGAAUGCACAAUUUUCAGAAUGUCGAAAAUUAAAACAAACUUGAG